Molecule: ribosomal RNA, 431 nt
Filed under: uncultured bacterium
Lineage: Bacteria
Description: partial 16S ribosomal RNA
Rfam family: Bacterial small subunit ribosomal RNA
Source: RNAcentral
AACGAACGCUGGCGGCAGGCUUAACACAUGCAAGUCGAGCGCCCCGCAAGGGGAGCGGCAGACGGGUGAGUAACGCGUGGGAACGUACCUUUUGGUUCGGAACAACUCCGGGAAACUGGAGCUAAUACCGGAUAAGCCCUAACGGGGAAAGAAUUAUCGCCGCAAGAUCGGCCCGCGUCGGAUUAGCUAGUUGGUGAGGUAACGGCUCACCAAGGCGACGAUCAGUAGCUGGUCUGGGAGGAUGAUCAGCCACACUGGGACUGAGACACGGCCCAGACUCCUACGGGAGGCAGCGGUGGGGAAUAUUGGACAAUGGGCGCAAGCCUGAUCCAGCCAUGCCGCGUGAGUGAUGAAGGCCUUAGGGUUGUAAAGCUCUUUUGUCCGGGAAGAUAAUGACUGUACCGGAAGAAUAAGCCCCGGCUAACUUCGUG